GUUCUACAGGGCAUGUAGUAUCAUGGCCACGCAUGUACUGCCUCACGUGUCGUGCCAAGUAAAACUCGUAGAAAGCUUAUCUCUGAUUUUGUGUCGACAUCUGUUGAAGCAAGCUUCUUCGUAAAAAGACACUGAUGAGUUUCGAGCCCUGUGAUUGGCUUAUCAACAGCCAAUCAGGAGCGUCUUAAGGGACAGACUGGACACCAGAUGCAUGGGUGCUGUGGAUCUAUCAUUGAGCAAUGCAGUUCUCAUUGUGAGCAUCAGUUUGGAGAGCUGCAGAUAUUGAUACUCAAAAGGCAUAACCACUCAUGUAACCAUGUGUUUGAUGGCGUUUAUUUCCUUGAAAUCUGGGCUAAUAAUGUUCUGUUAUAAUAAAACUAUUCUUUGAUGGUUCAUAUAAUUUUCGGUAGUUUAAGUGAGUAAUGAACUGGCAAAUAACCACACAUUAACCAAUAAUGAAAACAAUAACAGAUACAGGAUAUGAAAUCCUUUUUUCGGUGAAAACACUGGGCAAGAGUGAAUUAAUGUUUACAGCAAUGGAGAAUGUUUCUUCACUAAUACUGAAUAGCUUACUUAAUACUCUUUUUCCGGGCCUCUUUUUCAAUGGAAUGUGAGAGAGAGAGAGAGAGAGAGAGAGAGAGAGAGAGAGAGAGAGAGAGAGAGAGAGAGAGAGAGAGAG
This is a long non-coding RNA of Macrobrachium nipponense, 679 nucleotides long. RefSeq lists it as uncharacterized. The transcript is spliced from 3 exons. The record is from RefSeq and is a predicted model, not a curated record. Lineage: Eukaryota; Metazoa; Arthropoda; Malacostraca; Decapoda; Palaemonidae.